Molecule: ribosomal RNA, 323 nt
Filed under: uncultured bacterium
Lineage: Bacteria
Description: bacterial SSU rRNA
Rfam family: Bacterial small subunit ribosomal RNA
Source: RNAcentral
CGUGUCGUGAGAUGUUGGGUUAAGUCCCGCAACGAGCGCAACCCUCGUUCCAUGUUGCCAGCACGUAAUGGUGGGGACUCAUGGGAGACUGCCGGGGUCAACUCGGAGGAAGGUGGGGAUGACGUCAAGUCAUCAUGCCCCUUAUGUCCAGGGCUUCACGCAUGCUACAAUGGCCGGUACAAAGGGCUGCGAUCCCGUGAGGGGGAGCGAAUCCCAAAAAGCCGGUCUCAGUUCGGAUUGGGGUCUGCAACUCGACCCCAUGAAGUCGGAGUCGCUAGUAAUCGCAGAUCAGCAACGCUGCGGUGAAUACGUUCCCGGGCCUU